UACGGGGGGGGCAAGCGUUGUUCGGAUUCAUUGGGCGUAAAGGGUGCGUAGGUGGCGGGGUAAGUCUGGUGUGAAAUCUCGGAGCUCAACUCCGAAACUGCACUGGAUACUGCCUUGCUCGAGUACUGGAGAGGAGAUUGGAAUUUACGGUGUAGCAGUGAAAUGCGUAGAUAUCGUAAGGAAGACCAGUGGCGAAGGCGAAUCUCUGGACAGUUACUGACACUGAGGCACGAAGGCCAGGGGAGCAAACGGG
This 253-nucleotide ribosomal RNA is filed under the name uncultured bacterium. Its description in RNAcentral is "partial 16S ribosomal RNA". It matches the Rfam family "Bacterial small subunit ribosomal RNA", at positions 524 to 776 of the family's 1533-position model. The record is from RNAcentral.